Molecule: ribosomal RNA, 373 nt
Filed under: uncultured bacterium
Lineage: Bacteria
Description: bacterial SSU rRNA
Rfam family: Bacterial small subunit ribosomal RNA
Source: RNAcentral
UAAUACGGAGGAUCCAAGCGUUAUCCGGAUUUAUUGGGUUUAAAGGGUGCGUAGGUGGCCUGUUAAGUCAGGGGUGAAAGACGGUAGCUUAACUAUCGCAGUGCCUUUGAUACUGACGGGCUUGAAUACACUAGAGGUAGGCGGAAUGUGACAAGUAGCGGUGAAAUGCAUAGAUAUGUCACAGAACACCAAUUGCGAAGGCAGCUUACUAUGGUGUCAUUGACACUGAGGCACGAAAGCGUGGGGAUCAAACAGGAUUAGAUACCCUGGUAGUCCACGCCCUAAACGAUGAAUACUCGAUGUUGGCGAUAUACGGUCAGCGUCUAAGCGAAAGCGUUAAGUAUUCCACCUGGGGAGUACGCCCGCAAGGGUG